GAUGAACGCUGGCGGCGUGCCUAAUACAUGCAAGUCGAGCGAACAGACGAGGAGCUUGCUCCUCUGACGUUAGCGGCGGACGGGUGGGUAACACGUGGAUAACCUACCUAUAAGACUGGGAUAACUUCGGGAAACCGGAGCUAAUACCGGAUAAUAUAUUGAACCGCAUGGUUCAAUAGUGAAAGACGGUUUUGCUGUCACUUAUAGAUGGAUCCGCGCCGCAUUAGCUAGUAGGUAAGGUAACGGCCUACCAAGGCAACGAUGCGUAGCCGACCUGAGAGGGUGAUCGGCCACACUGGAACUGAGACACGGUCCAGACUCCUACGGGAGGCAGCAGUAGGGAAUCUUCCGCAAUGGGCGAAAGCUUGACGGAGCAACGCCGCGUGAGUGAUGAAGGUCUUCGGAUCGUAAAACUCUGUUAUUAGGGAAGGACAAAUGUGUAAGUAACUAUGCACGUCUUGACGGUACCUAAUCAGAAAGCCACGGCUAACUACGUG
This 497-nucleotide ribosomal RNA is filed under the name uncultured bacterium. RNAcentral describes it as "partial 16S ribosomal RNA". It matches the Rfam family "Bacterial small subunit ribosomal RNA", at positions 28 to 507 of the family's 1533-position model. The record is from RNAcentral.